GAUGAACGCUGGCGGCGUGCCUAAUACAUGCAAGUCGAGCGAACAGACGAGAAGCUUGCUCCUCUGACGUUAGCGGCGGACGGGUGAGUAACACGUGGAUAACCUACCUAUAAGACUGGGAUAACUUCGGGAAACCGGAGCUAAUACCGGAUAAUAUUUUGAACCGCAUGGUUCAAUAGUGAAAGACGGUCUUGCUGUCACUUAUAGAUGGAUCCGCGCCGCAUUAGCUAGUUGGUAAGGUAACGGCUUACCAAGGCAACGAUGCCUAGCCGACCUGAGAGGGGGAACCGGCAAACCUGAACUGAGACACGGUCCCGACCCCCAAGGGAGGCAGGAGGAGGGAAUCUUCCGGAAAUGGCGAAAGGCUGAAGGAGGAACGGCGGGUGGGGGAAUAAGGGUUUCGGAUCGGAAAACUCUGUUAAUUGGGAAAAAAAAUAGGGGAAGGUACUAGUCACGUCUUGACCGUUCCUUAACAAAAAAGCACCGGCAACCUCGGG
Molecule: ribosomal RNA, 497 nt
Filed under: uncultured bacterium
Lineage: Bacteria
Description: partial 16S ribosomal RNA
Rfam family: Bacterial small subunit ribosomal RNA
Source: RNAcentral